AGAGUUUGAUCAUGGCUCAGGACGAACGCUGGCGGCGUGCCUAAUACAUGCAAGUCGAACGAACUCUGGUAUUGAUUGGUGCUUGCAUCAUGAUUUACAUUUGAGUGAGUGGCGAACUGGUGAGUAACACGUGGGAAACCUGCCCAGAAGCGGGGGAUAACACCUGGAAACAGAUGCUAAUACCGCAUAACAACUUGGACCGCAUGGUCCGAGCUUGAAAGAUGGCUUCGGCUAUCACUUUUGGAUGGUCCCGCGGCGUAUUAGCUAGAUGGUGGGGUAACGGCUCACCAUGGCAAUGAUACGUAGCCGACCUGAGAGGGUAAUCGGCCACAUUGGGACUGAGACACGGCCCAAACUCCUACGGGAGGCAGCAGUAGGGAAUCUUCCACAAUGGACGAAAGUCUGAUGGAGCAACGCCGCGUGAGUGAAGAAGGGUUUCGGCUCGUAAAACUCUGUUGUUAAAGAAGAACAUAUCUGAGAGUAACUGUUCAGGUAUUGACGGUAUUUAACCAGAAAGCCACGGCUAACUACGUGCCAGCAGCCGCGGUAAUACGUAGGUGGCAAGCGUUGUCCGGAUUUAUUGGGCGUAAAGCGAGCGCAGGCGGUUUUUUAAGUCUGAUGUGAAAGCCUUCGGCUCAACCGAAGAAGUGCAUCGGAAACUGGGAAACUUGAGUGCAGAAGAGGACAGUGGAACUCCAUGUGUAGCGGUGAAAUGCGUAGAUAUAUGGAAGAACACCAGUGGCGAAGGCGGCUGUCUGGUCUGUAACUGACGCUGAGGCUCGAAAGUAUGGGUAGCAAACAGGAUUAGAUACCCUGGUAGUCCAUACCGUAAACGAUGAAUGCUAAGUGUUGGAGGGUUUCCGCCCUUCAGUGCUGCAGCUAACGCAUUAAGCAUUCCGCCUGGGGAGUACGGCCGCAAGGCUGAAACUCAAAGGAAUUGACGGGGGCCCGCACAAGCGGUGGAGCAUGUGGUUUAAUUCGAAGCUACGCGAAGAACCUUACCAGGUCUUGACAUACUAUGCAAAUCUAAGAGAUUAGACGUUCCCUUCGGGGACAUGGAUACAGGUGGUGCAUGGUUGUCGUCAGCUCGUGUCGUGAGAUGUUGGGUUAAGUCCCGCAACGAGCGCAACCCUUAUUAUCAGUUGCCAGCAUUAAGUUGGGCACUCUGGUGAGACUGCCGGUGACAAACCGGAGGAAGGUGGGGAUGACGUCAAAUCAUCAUGCCCCUUAUGACCUGGGCUACACACGUGCUACAAUGGAUGGUACAACGAGUUGCGAACUCGCGAGAGUAAGCUAAUCUCUUAAAGCCAUUCUCAGUUCGGAUUGUAGGCUGCAACUCGCCUACAUGAAGUCGGAAUCGCUAGUAAUCGCGGAUCAGCAUGCCGCGGUGAAUACGUUCCCGGGCCUUGUACACACCGCCCGUCACACCAUGAGAGUUUGUAACACCCAAAGCCGGUGAGAUAACCUUCGGGAGUCAGCCGUCUAAGGUGGGACAGAUGAUUAGGGUGAAGUCGUAACAAGGUAACC
This 1527-nucleotide ribosomal RNA is filed under the name uncultured Bacillus sp. RNAcentral describes it as "partial 16S ribosomal RNA". It matches the Rfam family "Bacterial small subunit ribosomal RNA". The record is from RNAcentral. Lineage: Bacteria; Bacillati; Bacillota; Bacilli; Caryophanales; Bacillaceae.